Molecule: long non-coding RNA, 1589 nt
Organism: Betta splendens (Siamese fighting fish)
Lineage: Eukaryota; Metazoa; Chordata; Actinopteri; Anabantiformes; Osphronemidae
Source: Ensembl
AAAAGUGGGGAUGCAUCCUCGGCACACAAUGCCUUUCAUAUGGCAUUUAUCCACAAGGCACAACCGGCUCCCUCAAGAUGAAUAAUGAACUAAACAAGAUCAAAUAAUUAUCACAUGGGAGCAGCAGAGAGAACUCGCUCACAAACACGACCGAGUUUACCUUAGAUUCUUCCCGCACAUCACACAACAGAGUCGGAGCAAGAAGUGUGCACCGAGGCAGGUUGUCAUGUGCAACAGAAGCCACAGUGAGGUCUUGCAAGGACAGCGCUCAUGAUUAGUUUCAGUGUUUGUCAGAAACUUUUCCUCGUCGCUGUUUUUAUUACGGUGUUGCUUGUCGAGUUAUGACCUUAUGUUUACUUUUCCUUCACCAAGUCUCCGUUUCCUUUUCUAUACAGCACUGCCAGAAGAAUCCACGAACAACAUCCUCUGGAGUCAAGGUUAGUGUAAACUUUCACUGGUGGCAAAGCCAGAGAGACUUCUGCAAAAUUAUUAACAAUCCACAACAUCGAACAAAAUGUGACUGACACAUUUACUUUUUAUUCAAAGAACUACUGAACUAGAGUUGGUUUCCAUUCUAAAGAGAGCGGCCCCUUUAGGACACGAGUCUGACCAGUCCUAAUGAAACACAUCACUCAGUUUUUCAGGAGCUAUAGUAAGAGAAUAGGCUUCCUAGAUAAUUUAGAGCAGUCUAUGUCACGACAGUGAAUAUUUGAAUUGAACUAUUCAUUUUAAUUAAACUAAAUCUGAACUCUUGUACUUCAAAUUGUCUUCCAUACGUGGCCCCAGUCAGUCAUAACAACUCAGCGUAGCCAGUGAAGUGCUUCCUGCUGGAACAAAUUCCGGCUCCUUUCCCUCCUGAACCUCUCCACAGCAUUGUCAUGGAAAAAGUAGACGGGCCCGAGGCGUCCCGCUGGCUCACCUGGGGAAUGAGCAUACCACGUGUGACGUCACUCCUGAACAAAAAGGAAAUCUUAGAAAAGCAGGAGGAAACUUGUGUUCUGGAGUUCCGGCAAAACGGGUGUCGGGGUGCAGUGGAAUGCCGUCACGCUCCUACCGAGUGUGAUACAAAUGUGAGUCUAAGGAAACAUCUGUUUUGUCAUGUCUGUGUAGAACCACAUAUUCAAAUCAAGCCCUUCUGUAUGUGACUCGCCUGCUUGAGCAGUCUGUAUCGGCUGGAAAACUCGUACUGUCGAGCGAAGACUCGUUGAACUUGCAAAUGUUUGCAUUAGCCUUGAAUAUCAAAUGUUGAUUUCAAUCUCUUCAAAGCUCUGACAAAGUGCUGACACUGUGGCCCUUUGUGAUGUGUUUAUUGUGGAAAUUCAAGUCGGGGAAUGAUGACAAAGCCCUGAGGUGAAUUCAUAUGUAUAUGCUUUAGCGGCCACUAACAGCGCGCUGGCAGAAAGAGAUGUUUCAGUCCGUAUCUCUUCCUCUUCAUCUGUCUUUGUUCCCCCCUCCCCUCCCUCCUCGCUCUACUCAGCACUGAUAUAUCUUUCUUCACUUAUAACCACCCCCCUCCCCUCACCUCUGGCCUCGCGUCCUCGCCCCCUCCCACCGGCGCACACAAUAAAUAUCAUGUCACGAGGAUGGCA